Molecule: long non-coding RNA, 1782 nt
Organism: Onychostoma macrolepis
Lineage: Eukaryota; Metazoa; Chordata; Actinopteri; Cypriniformes; Cyprinidae
Exons: 3
Source: RefSeq, a predicted model, not a curated record
UCUCUACAUCUUCCACUACACCUCUGGCUUUCUCUGUGGGUCUCUGGAAUUGUCAGUCAGCCGUCAACAAAGCUGACUUCAUUUCUGCCUUUUCUUUAAAAUCCACUCUCAGCAUCUUGGGCUUGACUGAGACCUGGAUUCGUCCAGAAGACUCAGCAACCCCAGCUGCUCUCUCUACUAAUUUCUCUUUCUCUCAUACUUCGCGUCAAGUUGGUCGGGGUGGGGGUACUGGCCUGCUCGUUUCACACAAUUGGAAAUACUCAACCCACUCUACCCUUUGCAAUUACAACUCAUUUGAAUGUCAUGCCAUUACUGUAUCAGCUCCGAUAAAACUCCAGAUUGUGGUAAUCUACCGUCCCCCUGGACAAAUUCUAGCCACCUUCCUAGAGGAGCUGGACGGGUUGUUGUCCUCUUUGUGGAGGAUGGCAUUCCACUCUUAGUCUUUGGUGAUUUCAACAUUCACCUAGACAAGCCUUAUGCUACAGACUUCCACUCGCUACUAGCUUCAUUUGAUCUCAAUCGCCUUACCACUACUAGCACGCACAAAUCAGGCAACCAACUUGAUUUAAUUUACACACGCAAUUGUACUGCAGAUAACAUUCUGGUACAACCGCUACAUAUCUCGGACCAUUUCUUCAUUACAUUUACACUACAUUUUGCUACCCGUGUGCCACCAACCCCCCUACCGGUUACUUUUAGACGAAACCUGCGCUCCCUUUCUCCUUCCCAUCUUUCCUCUGUAGUAUCCUCCUCUCUUCCCUCACCUACCCAUUUCUCAUCUCUGGAUGUAAACGCAGCUACUGAAACUUUAUGCUCUACCUUAACUUCUUGUCUAGACGACAUUUGUCCUCUCUCCUCUAGGUCAGCACGGACUGCCCCUUCUAACCCCUGGUUAUCUGAUGUUCUUCGUGAACAUCGGACUAAACUCAGAGCGGCAGAGAGAAAAUGGCACAAAUCAAACAACCCGUCGGACCUGAAACAACAAACUGGACGCUAAACAGUCAGGUUUCAGGAGUGGCCAUUCAACUGAGACUGCACUUCUCUCGGUCACUGAAGCCCUGCGAAUUGCAAAAGCCCAUUCCAAAUCAUCAGUCCUCAUUCUGCUGGAUCUAUCUGCCGCGUUUGACACUGUCAAUCAUCAGAUACUCCUCUCCACUCUCUCAUCACUGGGCAUCGCUGGAAUUCCACUUCGCUGGUUUGAAUCCUAUCUCACUGAUGAUCCAACGGUAGCUGCAAGGAUCUCAGGUUGCCUGGCAGACAUCUCGGCAUGGAUGAAAGAACAUCACCUCCAGCUCAACCUGGCAAAGACUGAGCUUCUUGUCUUUCCUGCCGCUCCAACUCUACAGCAUGACAUCACGAUCCAGUUAGGUUCAUCAACAAUUACCCCAUCAACUUCGGUCAGAAAUCUUGGUGUAAUCUUUGAUGACCAGCUGACCUUCAAAGACCACAUUGCAAAGACUGCUCGAUCUUGCAGGUUUGCACUACACAACAUCAGAAAGAUCAGGCCCUUUCUGACGGAGCAUGCUGCACAACUUCUUGUCCAGGCCCUUGUCAUUUCUAGGCUGGACUACUGCAAUGCUCUUCUGGCUGGACUUCCAUCAAACACAGUCAAACCUCUACAAAUGAUUCAGAAUGCGGCGGCACGACUGGUCUUCAAGGAACCCAAAAGAGCCCAUGUUACACCUCUCUUUAUCUCAUUGCAUUGGCUACCAAUCGCAGCUCGCAUCAAGUUCAAGACACUGAUGCUUGCUCAUAGAACAACCACAGGCUCAGCACCCGCCU